This 81-nucleotide transfer RNA is filed under the name Hofstenia miamia. Its description in RNAcentral is "tRNA-Ser for anticodon AGA". It matches the Rfam family "tRNA". Rfam says of the family: Transfer RNA (tRNA) molecules are approximately 80 nucleotides in length. Their secondary structure includes four short double-helical elements and three loops (D, anti-codon, and T loops). Further hydrogen bonds mediate the characteristic L-shaped molecular structure. tRNAs have two regions of fundamental functional importance: the anti-codon, which is responsible for specific mRNA codon recognition, and the 3' end, to which the tRNAs corresponding amino acid is attached (by aminoacyl-tRNA synthetases). tRNAs cope with the degeneracy of the genetic code in two manners: having more than one tRNA (with a specific anti-codon) for a particular amino acid; and 'wobble' base-pairing, i.e. permitting non-standard base-pairing at the 3rd anti-codon position. The record is from RNAcentral. Lineage: Eukaryota; Metazoa; Xenacoelomorpha; Acoela; Hofsteniidae.
GCAGUCAUGGUCGAGUGGUUAAAGCGUUAGAAUAGAAAUAUAAUUACAUCUGGAUCGCAGGUUAGAAUCCUGCUGACUGUG